AGGAUAAACGCUGGCGGCGUGCCUAACACAUGCAAGUCGAACGCGCUUACUAUCCGCGAGGAGGGUGAGCGAGUGGCGGACGGGUGAGGAACACGUGGGUGACCUACCUUUCAGUGAGGGAUACCGGCGAGAAAUUGCCGACAAGACCGCAUACGCUUCUCUUUUCAAGGGGGAGAAGGAAAGCUUUUCGCAAGAGAGGCGCUGGGAGAUGGGCCUGCGGCCGAUUAGCUAGCUGGUGGGGUAAUGGCCUACCAGGGCGACGAUCGGUAGCUGGUCUGAGAGGACGAUCAGCCACACUGGGAUUGAGAACGGCCCAGACUCCUACGGGGGGCAGGCAGUGAGGAAUUUUCGGCAAUGGGGGCAACCCUGACCGAGCAACGCCGCGUGCAGGACGACGGCCUUCGGGUUGUAAACUGCUUUUCUCUGGGACGAGCAAGGACGGUACCAGAGGAAGAAGCCCGGCUAACUACGCGCCAGCAGCCGC
This 484-nucleotide ribosomal RNA is filed under the name uncultured bacterium. RNAcentral describes it as "SSU rRNA". It matches the Rfam family "Bacterial small subunit ribosomal RNA", at positions 26 to 518 of the family's 1533-position model. The record is from RNAcentral.